CAACCAACAAGUGGAGGGGAAGCUGCUAAUGUGGAGGAUUGUAUUACAGAGGUUGAUGAAGACACGAUUAAAGCAGUAGUACCAGAUGAGGUCGUGAUUAAGGAAGACUUUGAGUACACUCUGUAUGAAGCUGUCACCAUACCUGAUGCUAUU
Molecule: long non-coding RNA, 153 nt
Organism: Telopea speciosissima
Lineage: Eukaryota; Viridiplantae; Streptophyta; Magnoliopsida; Proteales; Proteaceae
Exons: 3
Source: RefSeq, a predicted model, not a curated record